This is a long non-coding RNA of Dermochelys coriacea (leatherback sea turtle), 636 nucleotides long. RefSeq lists it as uncharacterized. NCBI's taxonomy places the organism in Eukaryota, Metazoa, Chordata, Testudines, Dermochelyidae. The transcript has 3 exons. The record is from RefSeq and is a predicted model, not a curated record.
UUCUAGAAUGUGGCUGUUUUCUGGAGUCUGCCUGCUCCAGGAGAUGACUGGGACCACCAAGUGGCCAGCUUGAUAAUGGCAAAGGAUAAGGAUGCAUUUGUCUCCUGAAGACAAUUGAGAAGGUUCCAUUGGCUCCUGCCUUUAAAAGUGAAUCUUUCUUGUGGUGACUUCUGAAUUGAAGUGCAAUUUCAAGUGCCAACUAGUAGCUGGUCUUGUUUACUGCAACCAUAGAUUUACACGAUGCGUUGCAAUCUGGGAUGUGUGCCGACCCAGCAUGGUGGUAGGAGAAACAGCAGUGAAACUUACUUCCUGCCGUUAGUCCCCUGUGUGUCUGUGGACCAGUCUGGCUCCGCAACUGACCCGUAGACCUCAAAAGGCCCAGGAGUCCAUAGCAGUGAGCAGGACGAAUUUACUGGUUUUAAUGUGCUUUUCUCCUGAGCAGGAUUUUAAGGACUAGUCUUUCAAAGAAGAAUACUAGGGGUUAACUCAAUAGGCACUACUGGAGUUUAAAUAAGGGCACUGCUUCACAUACAUGCAUUUCUCAUCCUGGAGGAUCCCAAAGCAAUACGGCCCAAUAUGGUACUUGGGCAUCAAACACCAUGUCAACAGGGAAAGGCAAGUUCGUGGAUGUCCUGG